UACGGGGGGGGCAAGCGUUGUUCGGAAUUACUGGGCGUAAAGGGCUCGUAGGCGGCCAACUAGGUCAGACGUGAAAUCCCUCGGCUUAACCGGGGAACUGCGUCUGAUACUGGAUGGCUUGAGAUUGGGAGAGGGAUGCGGAAUUCCAGGUGUAGCGGUGAAAUGCGUAGAUAUCUGGAGGAACACCGGUGGCGAAGGCGGCAUCCUGGACCAACACUGACGCUGAGGAGCGAAAGCCAGGGGAGCAAACGGG
Molecule: ribosomal RNA, 253 nt
Filed under: uncultured bacterium
Lineage: Bacteria
Description: partial 16S ribosomal RNA
Rfam family: Bacterial small subunit ribosomal RNA
Source: RNAcentral